AGUGAAUAGAUACCCUGGUAGUCCACGCCGUAAACGAUGAGUACUAGGUGUAGGGGGUAUCGACCCCCUCUGUGCCGAAAGCUAAACGCGAUAAGUACUCCGCCUGGGGACUACGGCCGCAAGGCUAAAACUCAAAGGAAUUGACGGGGGCCCGCACAAGCAGCGGAGCGUGUGGUUUAAUUCGAUGAUACGCGAAGAACCUCACCCAGGUUUGACAUGCAUGUGGUACUGAUGUGAAAGCUGAGGGACCCUUCGGGGAGCAUGCACAGGUGUUGCACGGCCGUCGUCAGCUCGUGCCGUGAGGUGUUGGGUUAAAGUCCCGCAACGAGCGCAACCCCGUGUCGCCAGUUGUAUUUUUACUGGCGAGACUGCCGAGAAAACCCUCGGAGGAAGGAGGGGUACGAUGUCAGGUCAGCGUGGCCCUU
This 425-nucleotide ribosomal RNA is filed under the name uncultured bacterium. RNAcentral's name for it is "bacterial SSU rRNA". It matches the Rfam family "Bacterial small subunit ribosomal RNA", at positions 774 to 1203 of the family's 1533-position model. The record is from RNAcentral.